AUUGAACGCUGGCGGCAUGCCUUACACAUGCAAGUCGAACGGCAGCACGGGAGCAAUCCUGGUGGCGAGUGGCGAACGGGUGAGUAAAGUAUCGGAACGUGCCCAGUCGUGGGGGAUAACGUAGCGAAAGUUACGCUAAUACCGCAUACGAUCUAUGGAUGAAAGCGGGGGAUCGCAAGACCUCGCGCGAUCGGAGCGGCCGAUAUCAGAUUAGGUAGUUGGUGGGGUAAAGGCUCACCAAGCCGACGAUCUGUAGCUGGUCUGAGAGGACGACCAGCCACACUGGGACUGAGACACGGCCCAGACUCCUACGGGAGGCGGCAGUGGGGAAUUUUGGACAAUGGGCGCAAGCCUGAUCCAGCCAUGCCGCGUGCAGGAUGAAGGCCUUCGGGUUGUAAACUGCUUUUGUACGGAACGAAAAGGUUUGACUUAAUACGUUGGACUCAUGACGGUACCGUAAGAAUAAGCACCGGCUAACUACGUGCCAGCAGCCGCCGUAA
Molecule: ribosomal RNA, 500 nt
Filed under: uncultured bacterium
Lineage: Bacteria
Description: partial 16S ribosomal RNA
Rfam family: Bacterial small subunit ribosomal RNA
Source: RNAcentral